This is a non-coding RNA of Callithrix jacchus (white-tufted-ear marmoset), 901 nucleotides long. NCBI's taxonomy places the organism in Eukaryota, Metazoa, Chordata, Mammalia, Primates, Cebidae. The record is from RefSeq and is a predicted model, not a curated record.
AGCGCAGGCGGAAGUGGUGACGCUGGCGUCCCCGGAGCCUGCGGCAGGAGGCUGUGACGGCCCCGGCGCUGACGGCGGCGGACCGGGGGGCGGCGUGGACGCCCGCAGCGCCGGCUGGGGCAUCACCGCGGGCCUCGACCCCGAAAUGGCGCUGCUGGCCGAACACCUGCUGAAGCCGCUACCGGCGGACAAGCAGAUCGAGACCGGGCCCUUCCUCGAGGCGGUGUCCCACCUGCCGCCCUUCUUCGAUUGCCUUGGGUCCCCAGUGUUUACUCCCAUUAAGGCAGACAUAAGCGGCAACAUCACGAAAAUCAAAGCGGUGUAUGACACCAACCCAGCCAAGUUCCGGACCCUGCAGAACAUCCUGGAGGUGGAGAAAGAAAUGUAUGGAGCAGAGUGGCCCAAAGUUGGGGCCACACUGGCGCUGAUGUGGCUGAAAAGGGGCCUCCGUUUCAUCCAGGUCUUCCUUCAGAGCAUCUGCGACGGGGAGCGGAACGAGAACCACCCCAACCUCAUCCGUGUCAACGCCACCAAGGCCUAUGAGAUGGCCCUCAAGAAGUACCACGGCUGGAUCGUGCAGAGAAGAUCUUCCAGGCAGCGCUGUAUGCAGCCCCCUAUAAGUCCGACUUCCUGAAAGCACUCUCCAAGGGGCAGAAUGUGACAGAGUAGGAGGGCCUGGAGAAGAUCCGCCUCUUCCUAGUCAACUACACGGCCACCAUCGAUGUCAUCUAUGAGAUGUACACCCAGAUGAAUGCGGAGCUUAACUACAAGGGGUAGUCAUGCCCACCGCUGGGCACACCCCCGCCUUGAGGCCACACGGAGAAACAGGCAAACCAGAAUCACUGUGAAUCAAGUCGGCGGCUGCCCCUGGCCUGUGUCCCCCAGAGCAGCCCAGCGUCCU